RNAcentral lists this transfer RNA (64 nucleotides) under Dipodomys ordii (Ord's kangaroo rat). It matches the Rfam family "tRNA". From Rfam's summary of the family: Transfer RNA (tRNA) molecules are approximately 80 nucleotides in length. Their secondary structure includes four short double-helical elements and three loops (D, anti-codon, and T loops). Lineage: Eukaryota; Metazoa; Chordata; Mammalia; Rodentia; Heteromyidae. The record is from Rfam by way of RNAcentral.
GGUGGCUCAGUAGUAGAGCGCUUGCCUUGCAGGCAUGAGGCCCUGGGUUUGAUCCUCAGCACCA